GGGAGUGGAAGGUGGGGGGAAAGUAAGGCAGAACAUUUCAGCGAAGGCGAAAACUGCUUUUGGAAAAUGGGUCAGCAGCUAAAAAGUAAGGCCAGGCAGGCGACAGCUCUGAACGACUUACCUUAGCACCACCACGGACAGACAGACCGGCUGACGGGGUGGUCGUGCUCUCUCCUUCUCACACUCCACCUUGGGUCGCUCCCGCCUCCCUCCUCCCUCUCCAGGCCCAGGUAAGCGGUCGAACAAGCUCUGAAGCAGGAAGUGGAAGUUGUAUGCAAAUUUCUACGGAGGCUAGGAAGCCUCUGCCGAGAAAAUCUCCCUGUGGGCAGUGAAUCAACAGCUGAGAAGUCACUUUAUUUCUUAAAACAGAAACCUCCUUCAUUCACUAAAAAAGGCCACUGACUGACCAAUUGGGGUGCAUUUUUGUUUCCACCACCCAGCUAAGUAACUGCGGAGGAAUGCCCGCACUGCCCUGGACCUCGGUGCUACUGCCGCGCCCCGGCCCUAGACAAGGUGUCUGGAGAGGGAUUGGAUUUGGGUGUUAAGAUUGGUUAUUCAUUAGCUGCUCCAAAAGAGGAGAUUAGGGGCAGAUAGCGGGGUGGAGUGUGAGUCAAGAGCUUCUUACUAUCUCUGUUUAAACGUCAGCAUUUGCUGCCCUUGCUCAUGUGGGGGCAGGACUCACUGCCCAUCCCCAUGUGAGCCUGCGUGCGUGCACACACGUGCAUGCACACAAGCACAAGUAUGCAUGCACUGUCCUCCUUUGGCUGCGUUUUUCAUGACCUCAAGUUUAUUUCCUCUCCUUCCUUCUCCUUGUUUAAUCCAUAGACUGGAGAAUUUAUUGUCAAAGGAAGCACAUGAUGGGAGCUGUGGCCGCUAGAGCUCUGGAGUCUGAGGGAUGUGGGUGUGAACUCAGUUCCGCCACUGGCCGACUGGGCACCACAGCCAGAUGCCUGGGCAGGCACACUGUGCUCCUGGUGCUGGCCUUGCCUGCCCGUUGAAGAGUCCCAAGGGUCAGCACACGCUGCCAGCCAUCUCUCCACCCUUGUGCAGGGGACAGGUCCCGGAGCAGCCCCAUCCACACUGCCAGGUUCUGCUCAAGUAGGUCACACGAAGUGGGUUGCUCUACACUGCAAGCAAAGGAAACACGGCUUGUUUUUAAAAUAACGUAUAACAGGUUGCAUAUAUUUUGGUAUAUCCUUGUGAUGGAAUACUAUGCAGCUGUGAAAAAUAAUAAAUAUGUGUGUAUAUAUUUCUACAUUCUAACGUGC
Molecule: long non-coding RNA, 1268 nt
Filed under: Lynx pardinus (Iberian lynx)
Lineage: Eukaryota; Metazoa; Chordata; Mammalia; Carnivora; Felidae
Source: RNAcentral